CUGGGUCCAGGACUCAAAUCGUGGUUGACUACGUGGGAGUCCAGUGACAUAGCCAUUAUGCUAACUGCUGGUCCCUCACUCAAGAUUCUUAAGUAGGUCCCUUACCUUAAAAAUGUUAAGAACAAUCUGAUAUAAGUGGUUGUAAUAGUUUUAAAAACAUCAUAGGGGAAUGACUCUGUGCAAAGAUGAAUGCACAGAAAAUGUCUCUGAAAUCUGUAUGUUCCAGUUCAGUAUAAUCAACCCCAAUCUCAAUGCUUUAAUAAAAGUACUAGGGUGACCCUUUGACUUGGCAGUUAAGAGCUUGGAGAGUUCUUCUUUGUCCAAGUUGGUGGCCUGGCUGCAUCAUUUGGAAGUUGUACCACCUUGGGCAGAGGACUUACCUUCUAAACCUCAGCUGGCAGAUCUUCAGAAUAAGAGGAAGAAUAACACCUGCCUAAUAGUUUUAGUGGGAGGAUUAUGGAAGGGCUGAGCCUACUGUCCAGCAUAUAUUGGGUUGCUGGAAAAGUCAUGAAGUAUUCUAGGUUUUUCUAUGCAAAAAUGCUUCAUGACUUUUCUGAUGACCCAAUAGUAAGCCCUCAAUUGAUGUUAGAACACGAAGGGAGGAAAAGGGAGUGGAAAAAGUGUCAGUGAUUAUGAAUCUCGAAAGUGGUUUGUUACAAGGAAGGGGUUGGUUUGGUGGGAGUCACGCUGCCUUCGGAGGUUACUACACAGUAAAUGAAACACUUCCUGCUGAUCUGGAUUACGGGACUGUUUUACAGCCAUUGGAGUUAUGGUAGAGAUGGGGGAGAGGACCACCCUUCAUCAGUCUGGACUGACUAAAGCUAGGAACCUGAUGGAAAUUUAAGAGCAGGUAAACUCAAAAUUGCACACCUUUGAUAUGAGAGAAGUGUGUGUGUGUGUGUGUGUGUGUGUGUGUAUGAGAGAGAGAGAGAGAGAGAGAGAGAGAUGGUGUAGAAGUGAGAGGAGAGCAGAAUUAUACUAAGAGGGAGCUGGUUUUCCACUUGAGGCCUAUGUAGAUAUUUCAGAUGGUCAUGGUCACAUUUAUUCUUUGUCUUCACAGCCAGGGAAAGCUUUGUUCUCAGGGCUCUGCUUUGUCCAAUAAAUUAGAUCUUCAUUUCUAAUCAUUUCACCUUGGGAUGUCCCAAGGCACAAAUAUAGACGUCAUUGUCGGUUCCAGAUUCUUCCAGAAGAAAGCCUGUGCUUUCUUGUAUUCACAGUAACAGUCGUACUUAGCAGGCACCAUCAUAGAAAGCACUGAGCCCAUGCGUGGGAUCCAGCUGGGCCCGAUUAUUUGCUGGAUUGCAAGAGAAAAGCUACAACAGUGGCCCGUGGGUGUCGAGACAGCAAAGUGAGGCUGUGCGUGUGACCCCAAGCAUGGCAGGAGUCAGGAGUCUCGGAGUAAUUCAGUCUGUUUCCCCAGCGCUUCUCUCAUGGUGACUGUCCAGUGGCAUUGACUAGAUUGCUGUCAAAUGCUUCAUCUUUCCCAUAAAGAUAGGCAGAGGCCUACCGAUCUUAGGAGCUGCUUGCUUAACGCACCAGCUGUUGUCCUCCAUAAUUUGGUAACUGAUGGUUUGCAGAGCCAGGUUUGAGCUAACUGGUAGGUUAGAUGUAAUUGACCAGUUCUUUGGUCAGUCUACUAUGGCUAUUGUCAUUUCAAGGUUAGAUGUACUUCAUUUUUAACUUUUACCUUUUUGUUGUUGUUGUUGAGACGUUUUUUGCUAUAGGGCGGGUGUGCUUGCCAGAAAGACAGAGACAGAGAGACAGAAAGCGAGAAAUCACCCUGUCUCAGAAGACUAGACCUAGGUUUACCCUUGAUAUUAUUGGUCAGCUUAAGAAAUGUGGGGUCCAUCUUCCAUCCUCCUUUGGUUUACUGUGCGUGUAUGUGUGUGUGUGUGUAUAGCCGUAUAAUCCAACAUUGGAUUCUUUCAUUGAUUUGGCACCUAUAUACUUCUGUCUAACUGACCACAUGUUAACAUAAUGCUCUUCUGCAGUUUUUGAAACUGAAGUCUUCCAGCAGUGGGUUGGUUAAUAAAUGCUACUAACAGCAUGAUGAUAAGCCAAGAGAUGCCUUCAAGGGAGCAUGGUGGGUUGUGCUUGGGUAGUGCAGGGUGGGUAUGAAUGUGUUCUAAGGACACAGGAAGAGGUGCCAUAUCACAACGUCUGUUGGCUUGGUGCUUGACAAAUGACACAUGGCCCUGCUCUGUCCUUCGGAGCUGAGGCAUUUCAGUUGUAGGCGCAUCGUUUUCUUUUCUACUUCUCUACUUCAUUAUCCCCAUGGGACCCCAGGGAGCACAGUCAGGGAAUAAUGGACUCUGAGGAAGACAUUGUCUAGGCAGGAUGUAUUUGUUUCCAUGGAAGUGAAGGAAGAGAGGCGAAAUUUGGAUGCUGCAAGCAAAUCUUUUCUCUCUUUUUAGAACAUAAACACUAUCCCUCUGGCAAAGGAGACAGGCCUCCCUGACUGGUCCAUUUAGAUUCCGCACGACAAGGAGAUAUUGUUUUAUUCUUCAUUAUCAAAGGGCCUAUUUCUUCCAAUUGACCACCUCCCACACACACUCUGCCAAAGUAGCCUGUUUACAAUCUACUCUUGUGGAUUACAGUACUUAGUGGAGACAAGUAGAGAGAAAUGCAGACACUCAAAAGCUUUGAGAUAUCCCACAGAGUUGGAAUGCUUUUUUCAAAGGGGAAAAAAAAAUCUGCAAAUGUGUCUAUACUUGCCGGUGUGCCCGAAAGAGCCAGCUGGACAGCCCAUAAAUGGCUCCCAUGCAGGCACAACAAAAGCUUGUGUCAGAAGUCAAGGGACAGGAGGCUGAGAACUAAUAAUAAUUUUGCACUUACACAGCAAUUUUCCCGCGAAGACCUCAGAGUGCUUUCUAAACAUUAAUUAAAUGGCCAGACAGCCCUGGGAGAUGGCUGUGUAUCACUAUUUCCAAUUUGCAGGGGGUAGAGGAAGGAGAAGUGUUUGCAUGGAGUGAAGUUGGAGCCAGGCCAUGCCACGGUAUGUACGGGUUGGGGACUCAGAGCACUGGGGACAUUUCCCUUGUGAGUGCCAGGCGGUGACCAGGUGUAUGGUACUUACAAGGCCUAGGAGAGGGCCUGGUGACCCACCAGCAGGACCCCCAUGAUAAAGUGGGUAGAAGACCACCUACACUGAGGCUUGCAGGGUGCUGUCACUAGCUCCCCCAUGUGCUCUUCACCACAUGCCAAAUUUCUAUCAUGACACAUUCAUUCUUUUUUGUCAGGUAAAUUGGUUUCACCUCGGGUGUUGGCUCUGAUCGUAGGUACAGCCAGGACACCUUCGAUGGGGAUUGUGGCAUCUCUUCUGCUCAGGUGAAUAUGCCAUGAUUGAUUAUUGAUAUCCGCCCUGCGCAUGGGAAGAGGGAGCUACUGUGGGUUGAACUGUGUCCCUCAGAAAGAUACGGUGAAGUCCUAACUCCUGGUACCUGUGAAUGUGACUUUAUUGGAAAUCAGGUCUUUGCCAAUAUAGGCACGUUAAGAUGAGGUGGUACUGGGCUAGGCUGAGCGUCUUUACCCGUCGAGUGAGAUCUGAGCACAGACACACAGAGAAGAGACGACCUUGUGAAGAUGGAGGCAGAGACUGAGGUGAAGCAUCUACAAGCCAAAUAAUGUCAAGGGUUACCACCGUAGGUGAGAGGCCUGAACAGGUCCUUCUCCGGCUCCUUCUGACAAUUAAGGAUUGGUGACUUCUGGCUUCCAGAGCUAUGAGAGAAUACAUUUCUGUUGCUCUAAGCCACCCAGUGUGGCACUUUGUUAGGUCAAUCAUAGAAAUGAACACAAUGGUCUACACACUGGAAGCUUCCCAUGUAGGAGUGUUAAAUGGUCACUUACUUAAGAAUACAUCCCACCACCAAAGAAAGGUUUCCUGGUGGAUUUGGACUGUGAGGUGCUGUAGUCCAACAUUCUGACUCUAGACAGGGACAGAGUGGAUGGAGUGCCUUGUAGUGGUGGUGACGGUGACAUCACAGUGGUCUCCCUGCCCAAUGUAGUGUUGGCCAAGGAUGGGCUGCUCUAAGCUGGCUCCUUUUCUUCUCAAGAAAAUUCCAUCCUCCCUAACACCAGGUGCUUGGUAAAGAGGAGGCCAGGCCAACAGAUGAUGGUAAGAAGCAAAAGCAGCCCGAGACUCUGGGUGCAAAAAGGCUCCAUUAAGAAAAGAUUGUCAGUCACAGCGGUUAUGUGCAAAUCAGCUGGAAGAGAGUUGAAGAAGAUGUAGACAAAGCCAGAUGACAGAUUAAGAAACAAGCAAAGCAGCACCUGAAGUCAACAAUGUAAUAGAAGAAGCAACAGAAUUGAUCAAGGAGAACAUUGUGCUAUCCAGUGAAUUCAUGGGAGACAUUUUGCUAGGCCUUGCAUCUUAAAGACAUGAGCAUUCCACCCUAGUGGACUUAACUGUGAGAAGAAAUGUAUGGAGACAAGGGGUCUCUCAACAGUGCGUGCCACCAGUGACACCCGGGAAAGGAGAAAAACUAGCUGGAAAAUACUGAACUCACAACUUAGCAUUUUGCCACCUGAAGUUGGUAUUAUAAAAUAAUCCAUACGACUUCAGAAAAUCAGCUAGAAAGUGACAUAUCUAGGAUUAAAAUUCAUAUUUGUCUCAUGCCAAAGCCACUGCCUUUUCCACCUUACUCCACUUUAUCACUAAUUGUGCUAUUGGAAGGCAAAGACAAAGGGAGAAUCUUGAAAGUAAAAAGAGAAGCAACUUAUCACAUACAGGUAAUCCUUGAUAAGACUUAAAGCUGACUUCUGAUCAGAAACCAUGAGAGCCAGAAGGCAGUGAGAUGCCAUAUUCAAGUGAUGAAAGACAAAAUCUAUCAAUCGAGAAUUUUAUAUCCUGCUAUACUAUCCUUCACAAAUUAAGACAUUUCCAAAUAAAAUAUGAACAUGUUUGCUACUACCAGAUGUUCUCUGCAAGGAAUAUGAAAAGCAGAUCUUCAGGCUAAGCUUAAAAGACAGUAAACUAUUAUUUGAAUCCACACAAAGAAAUUAAGAGCAUUGGUAAAGAUGACAGUAUAAAAGACUAUGAAUUUAUUUUUUGGGUCCUACUCCUCUUUUUUCAUAUCUGCUAAAUGACAACUGCAUAAAGCAAUAAAUACAAAUCAGUGGUGAUAGGGACACAAACAAAAGUGGGAGUAUAAAGUUGUGUGGGAGCCAAGUUUUACUAUACACAUGUUUAAAACACAAAACUACCAAAACUCAUUAAAGAAAAGGUAGGAAAUCUGAAGAGACUUUUCAGAAAAAGAAAAAUGUGGGACAAGUUUGCUUCAUUGGUGAAUUUUACAAAACAUUUAAAGGAGAAUUAACACCCCUCAUUCUAAAAUGCUUCCAAAAAAUGGACCAGGAGAGAAUACAUCCUAAUUUAUUCUCUGAGACCAAUAUUACCACAGUUUCAAGCCAGAUAACUUAUAAGAAGAAAUGAAAAUUACAGUUCAAUCUCUCAUAUAAAUAUAGAUGCAAAAAAUCCUCAACACGAUAUUAGCAAACUGAAUCUAGCAGUGUAUUAAAAAGAUUAUACACCAUGACCAAGUAGAAUUUAUCCCAGGAAGCCCUGGUUGUUUCAACAUGCACAAAUCAAUCAACAGAACAUGCUACGUUAAUAGAUUAAAGGAGAAAAACACAAUUAAUUCAGAAAAAGUAUGUGACAAAAUCCAACCCUUUCAUUAUUUAAAAACAAAACAAAACAAAACAAAACAAAAAACCCCACUUAGAAUAGAAGGGAACUUCCCCAAUUUGAUAAAAGGAAUUUAUGAAAAACCCAAGCUAGGACCACACUUAGUGGUAAAUGACUGAAGCUUCCCUCCAAAGUCAGGAACAAGACAAGGUUAUCUUCUCUUGCCAGUCCUAUCAAAAUCCCAGCUGUAUUUUCUGCAGAAAAUGACAAGUUGAUCCUAAAGUUUAUAUAGAAAUUUAAAAGGCCCAGAAUAGCAGAAAUAAUCUUGGAAGAGAACAAGUAGGAAGACUUAACACUUCACAGUUUCAAAACUUACUACAAUGCUACAAUAAUCAAGAUGACAUGGUACUGGUAUAAGGAUGGACACAUUGAUUAAUAGAACAGAAUUAAGAAUUUAGAAAUGAACUCUUAAACUUCCAGUUAAUUCAUGUUCAACAAGAACUCCAAGACAAUUCAAUAGAAAAAUAACAUUCUAUUGUACAAGCUGGCUAUCUACAUACAAAAGAAUGAAUUUUGACCCCUACCUAAUGCCACAUGUAAAGUCAACUCAAAGUGGAUCAAAGAUUUAAAUAUAUGAAGCUAUUUGAAGGAAAUAUGAGUGUAAAUCUUCUUGAACUUGUGUUAGGCAACUGUUUCUUUAAAAUGAUGUAGAAAAUAUAAGCAACACAAUAAAAAAAUGGAAUCGGAAGCUUUAAAAAGCGAUAAAUAUAUAAUAAUGAAUCCAAUUUUGAUUAUGUUGAACUUUAUACCAACAAAGUCAUAAAUCAUUACUUGAAAUAGAUUUUUUUUUAAAUGGUGAAAGGACCCCUGGAGGCAAUAGACCCAGCAAAGCCAUCGUGUGACUCUGGCCACACAAGCAAAGUAGGUGAAUUUGGGAGAUACUUUGAAGAUGAACUCUGGUUGCAUGUGGGGAUCACAUAAAUGGGUUGUGGAUGGUGGUGUUGACUGCUGAGAUGAGAAGCAAUGGGGGAAGACUGAAGUUGGAGGAGCAAGGAUGAGUACAGUUUUGCACCUAUUUAAUCUGGGGUACCCAUGGCUCUGUGUGUGGCCCUACUGUGUGUAACUCUACUGUGGUCAGAUUAGCCAAGUUUCAUUUAUUCUUUGUAAUGAAGACAUAAAAAUUGCUUCACUAAACAGAAGUGUUUUUUUUUUUUUUUUAAGUUUAUCGAUAUCUAUUUCUUCCCUUAGAGAAAGACAUAGGCACCUCCAACAGGGUCCUCAGACUGUGACCCUCCACUGUC
Long non-coding RNA from Tupaia belangeri chinensis (Chinese tree shrew), 6924 nucleotides. RefSeq lists it as uncharacterized. The transcript has 3 exons. The record is from RefSeq and is a predicted model, not a curated record. Lineage: Eukaryota; Metazoa; Chordata; Mammalia; Scandentia; Tupaiidae.